GUGUGGCGAGCAUAAAUUAUGUCGGCCCAUGACGUAGAGCUAAAUGCUUGGCGUAAUCUAAAUUGUUCGUCAUAAUUUAUGCUCUCCACACGAAAUCGCCUUUGGAGGCACUAUCCCUAAUAUCGGACAUAUACUGAAACAACUCUUGCAAUUUGGACGGAAAUUUAGUCAAUAAAUCGAACUAAAAAUUAGAAAUGCGUCAGUCCAACGUUCUAUAGUGGACAAUUUAUCUUUACAUUCUUUCGGUUUAGAUUCAAUUUUACUAUUGUUGGACAGGACGAGUUGCCAUCCCCGAUAAAAAAUCGUUUAGCUUGGCUGUCCCUUUCAACAGGAUGGCGAGAUUAACGUAUUUGCCAUUGUAAAUUUGGUCUUUAAUUGCUGUAGGAUUGUGUGCCACAAAACCAUCCUCACACGAAUGUAUCAUGUUUUCUGGGGGACUAUUGUUGUUAACACUAACAGGGUCAGUAUCGACAUGUUUGGAAGAAAAACCCUCGCCAGCAGACGAAAUAUUAAGAAUACCUGAUUCUCGCAAAAUUUUGGCGAAAUCAAUAGUACUUUGGUUGCUUGUACCUGGCUGCUGUUCCAUGUCCUCACUGAUAUGCUUCCGUUUUCUUGACACUUUCGGCAUUUUACAAUAGCAAUGGAUACAAGAUUAAAUUUGAGAAUGUCGUGAUCAAGGUUAACUUUUGUAUAACUUGAGACCCGUCUAAUUUAAUACUUGACUGGAUUCAUUGUUUUAUAAGUGAUCGAU
RNAcentral lists this unclassified non-coding RNA (751 nucleotides) under Spisula solidissima (Atlantic surf clam). Its description in RNAcentral is "partial cnRNA113". The record is from RNAcentral. Lineage: Eukaryota; Metazoa; Mollusca; Bivalvia; Venerida; Mactridae.